This is a long non-coding RNA of Zingiber officinale, 186 nucleotides long. RefSeq lists it as uncharacterized. Lineage: Eukaryota; Viridiplantae; Streptophyta; Magnoliopsida; Zingiberales; Zingiberaceae. The transcript is spliced from 2 exons. The record is from RefSeq and is a predicted model, not a curated record.
CAACCAGAUUCGAAACAAUGUGAUUUUUAUGUGAUGAGAUAUAUGAGAGAUAUUAUUGAAGAAGUGGAAACUAUCGAGAGAGAUUCACUUCGAUCAAUAUUCAUCAAAACGCAGUACUCUAAAGAAGAAAUUGAUGAAGUGCGUUCCGAGUGGGCAGAAUGCAUACAAGACUAUAUUUAUGACUAG